AUUGAACGCUGGCGGCAGGCUUAACACAUGCAAGUCGAGCGGGGUGAUGGUGCUUGCACUAUCACUUAGCGGCGGACGGGUGAGUAAUGCUUAGGAAUCUGCCUAUUAGUGGGGGACAACAUCUCGAAAGGGAUGCUAAUACCGCAUACGUCCUACGGGAGAAAGCAGGGGAUCACUUGUGACCUUGCGCUAAUAGAUGAGCCUAAGUCGGAUUAGCUAGUUGGUGGGGUAAAGGCCUACCAAGGCGACGAUCUGUAGCGGGUCUGAGAGGAUGAUCCGCGACACUGGGACUGAGACACGGCCCAGACUCCUACGGGAGGCAGCAGUGGGGAAUAUUGGACAAUGGGGGGGACCCUGAUCCAGCCAUGCAGCGUGUGUGAAGAAGGCCUUAUGGUUGUAAAGCACUUUAAGCGAGGAGGAGGCUCUUUUGGUUAAUACCCAAGAUGAGUGGACGUUACUCGCAGAAUAAGCACCGGCUAACUCUGUGCCAGCAGCCGCCGCCG
RNAcentral lists this ribosomal RNA (503 nucleotides) under uncultured bacterium. RNAcentral's name for it is "partial 16S ribosomal RNA". It matches the Rfam family "Bacterial small subunit ribosomal RNA", at positions 30 to 523 of the family's 1533-position model. The record is from RNAcentral.